This is a long non-coding RNA of Stegodyphus dumicola, 821 nucleotides long. The record is from RefSeq and is a predicted model, not a curated record. Lineage: Eukaryota; Metazoa; Arthropoda; Arachnida; Araneae; Eresidae.
AAAAAAAAAAAAAGCCCUCAUUUGGAUAAUAUUUGAAUUUGUUGGCUGUUUAAUUCAAUUUGACUUAAAAAAUUAUUAGUUAUGUACUGUUUUUAAAUAACAUCGUAUGCUCUCUGUGAGUCUUUUCUGUGUAAGGAGCAAGCAGGCGUGACAGGUGUCAAACAUUCAUUGCUACUUUCCUAUUUUAUUAACACAUGUCCAGGUGUCUUAAAAUGAAGAAAGGCCCGAAGUUCAUCACAGAUUUUUUGAUUCCUAGUUUGGAUGAAAAAAAAUUUGGCUGCCGUCUUCAGUGGGUGAAUAGAGAAAAAGCUGAAUUUCAAUUGAAAUGGAAUCAUAAAAAUGCAUCAUAUUGGUCUGAAUAUGAUGUUGAAGUUUUUAUUUCUCUCCCCCCACCCCGAAAUGCCUCGCAAACAUAAAUCUAACAUGUCUACGUAGGAAUUCAUCUCGGGCCCGGGCAGCAAAAAUUGCUCUAUUCCAAGAAUCUUCCGUACAUGCACAAUUAAGAAGACAAUGUUAAGGAAGGUGCACGAACUCAAUAUGUUCAUUAUAAUGUAGUUUUUUUGUGACAACAGUGAUGUUUUUUAAUAUAUUGCUUUGAGCGUGAUAACGCAUGGAAUGUUACUUUUUGUUAUAUUUAGAAUGCUAAAUAAAAUAGUCCGUUGUUAAUUAAAAAGGUUUUCUCUGCGAAAUAUAUUACCAUUCGUCAGAAGUUAUUAAUUAAGUCAACAAAUUGAUUAAUUUCAAACAACUGGCGUCCGGUGACAGGACGGAAUGGCUAUUUGAAGAAAACGAAACAUCAAUUUCGUAUUGGAAUUUAUCAA